Regulatory RNA element from Rhodobacterales bacterium, 102 nucleotides. It matches the Rfam family "L2-Alphaproteobacteria ribosomal protein leader". The record is from Rfam. Lineage: Bacteria; Pseudomonadati; Pseudomonadota; Alphaproteobacteria; Rhodobacterales.
GGCCACCUUCGGGGGGCUACACCCGGGCACCGCUCAGCGAGCAAAGCCCACACACAGACAGGCGGGGCACGCACCCCGCUGCAAAGCAACGGAAGACAGAAA